AUUGAACGCUAGCGGGAUGCUUUACACAUGCAAGUCGAACGGCAGCGCGGACUUCGGUCUGGCGGCGAGUGGCGAACGGGUGAGUAAUGUAUCGGAACGUGCCCAGUAGCGGGGGAUAACUACGCGAAAGCGUAGCUAAUACCGCAUACGCCCUACGGGGGAAAGCAGGGGUUCGUAAGACCUUGCACUAUUGGAGCGGCCGAUAUCGGAUUAGCUAGUUGGUGAGGUAACGGCUCACCAAGGCGACGAUCCGUAGCUGGUUUGAGAGGACGACCAGCCACACUGGGACUGAGACACGGCCCAGACUCCUACGGGAGGCAGCAGUGGGGAAUUUUGGACAAUGGGGGCAACCCUGAUCCAGCCAGCCCGCGUGUGCGAUGAAGGCCUUCGGGUUGUAAAGCACUUUUGGCAGGAAAGAAACGUCGCGGGCUAAUACCCCGUGGAACUGACGGUACCUGCAGAAUAAGCACCGGCUAACUACGUG
This 484-nucleotide ribosomal RNA is filed under the name uncultured bacterium. Its description in RNAcentral is "partial 16S ribosomal RNA". It matches the Rfam family "Bacterial small subunit ribosomal RNA", at positions 30 to 507 of the family's 1533-position model. The record is from RNAcentral.